AUUGAACGCUGGCGGCAUGCCCUACACAUGCAAGUCGAACGGCAGCACGGGUGCUUGCACCUGGUGGCGAGUGGCGAACGGGUGAGUAAUACAUCGGAACAUGUCCUGUAGUGGGGGAUAGCCCGGCGAAAGCCGGAUUAAUACCGCAUACGAUCCACGGAUGAAAGCGGGGGACCUUCGGGCCUCGCGCUAUAGGGUUGGCCGAUGGCUGAUUAGCUAGUUGGUGGGGUAAAGGCCUACCAAGGCGACGAUCAGUAGCUGGUCUGAGAGGACGACCAGCCACACUGGGACUGAGACACGGCCCAGACUCCUACGGGAGGCAGCAGUGGGGAAUUUUGGACAAUGGGCGAAAGCCUGAUCCAGCAAUGCCGCGUGUGUGAAGAAGGCCUUCGGGUUGUAAAGCACUUUUGUCCGGAAAGAAAUCCUUGACUCUAAUACAGUCGGGGGAUGACGGUACCGGAAGAAUAAGCACCGGCUAACUACGUG
This 486-nucleotide ribosomal RNA is filed under the name uncultured bacterium. RNAcentral's name for it is "partial 16S ribosomal RNA". It matches the Rfam family "Bacterial small subunit ribosomal RNA", at positions 30 to 507 of the family's 1533-position model. The record is from RNAcentral.